GCCCGGCUGGCUCAGUCAGUGGAGCGUGCGACUCUUGAUCUCGAGGUUGUGAGUUUGAGCCCCACGAUGGGUG
This 73-nucleotide transfer RNA is filed under the name Ailuropoda melanoleuca (giant panda). It matches the Rfam family "tRNA". Rfam says of the family: Transfer RNA (tRNA) molecules are approximately 80 nucleotides in length. Their secondary structure includes four short double-helical elements and three loops (D, anti-codon, and T loops). Lineage: Eukaryota; Metazoa; Chordata; Mammalia; Carnivora; Ursidae. The record is from Rfam by way of RNAcentral.